Molecule: RNA transcript, 1246 nt
Organism: Eriocheir sinensis (Chinese mitten crab)
Lineage: Eukaryota; Metazoa; Arthropoda; Malacostraca; Decapoda; Varunidae
Exons: 7
Source: RefSeq, a predicted model, not a curated record
CAGCCCGCCCCAAGGCUCCCUCCAUGGCCUCCUGCAGGGCUUGAGGUGGUCAGGCUCCCCACAGUGCUGCCCCUCGCAGUGCCAGGGCAGUGCCACACCUGUAAGCUGCGGCGCCAUGCCCGGUUUGAGGGCGCCGCUGGCCUGUUGUGCCGAUACGAAGGCAUGACUCUCCAACGGGUCACCUGUACAGCAAGAGCAAGAGCAAGACCGACAGCCCGCCUCGGCACCUCAGCCCGCCCCAAAGCUCCCUCCAUGGCCUCCUGCAGGGCUUGAGGUGUUCAGGCUCCCCACACUGCUGCCCCACGCAGUGCCAGGGCAGUGCCACACCUGUAAUCUGCGGCGCCAUGCCCGGUCUGAGGGCGCCGCUGGACUGUUGUGCCGAUACGAAGGCCUGACUCUCCAACGGGUCACCUGUACAGCAAGAGCAAGAGCAAGACCGACAGCCCGCCUCGGCCCCUCAGCCCGCCCCAAGGCUCCCUCCAUGGCCUCCUGCAGGGCUUGAGGUGGUCAGGCUCCCCACAGUGCUGCCCCUCGCAGUGCCAGGGCAGUGCCACACCUGUAAUCUGCGGCGCCAUGCCCGGUUUGAGGGCGCCGCUGGCCUGUGGCUCGGGAUUUCUCCCCAGCCAGGCCUUUGUACAGCAAGAGCAAGAGCAAGACCGCCAGCCCGCCUCGGCCCCUCAGCCCGCCCCAAAGCUCCCUCCAUGGCCUCCUGCAGGGCUUGAGGUGGUCAGGCUCAUCACAGUGCUGCCCCACGCAGUGCCAGGGCAGUGCCACACCUGUAAUCUGCGGCGCCAUGCCCGGUCUGAGGGCGCCGCUGGACUAAACCACUACAUGCCUGAGAUGCACCGCCCCGCCCCAACCCACCAUCAUGACCUGCCCGCCCCCCUGGCAUAAAUUGAAACUCCUAAAUGACUGACUCUUCGAUGUCUGAGACGACCCACCCUGCCCUGCGUCAUGACCUCCCAGCAUAAAUUGAAACCGUGCGCUGAAUGGGUGACUUUUCAAUACUGGAGGUCCACUCCCUGACGCCCCGCCCUGCCCCGCCCCGCACGUCAUGACCUGCCCCGGCGUCAGUUGGUAAGUAAUGCAUGCUGUUUAUGAUUAUCCAGCACACAGCUAUGUGGGCAAUGUUGUUGUCAUAUAUAUUACCCAUGAGCUGGUUCUGUUUACAGCAAGAAUCAUUACCUUAUAAAACCUAACGUGUGCUUCUGAUGCAAUGCAUUGUCCGAGGUGUGAUCAAAUCGCU